GAUGAACGCUGGCGGCGUGCUUAACACAUGCAAGUCGAACGAUGAAGCCCAGCUUGCUGGGUGGAUUAGUGACGAACGGGUGAGUAACACGUGAGUAACCUGCCCUUGACUCUGGGAUAAGCCUGGGAAACUGGGUCUAAUACUGGAUAUGACUUCUCAUCGCAUGGUGGGGGGUGGAAAGAUUUAUUGGUCUUGGAUGGACUCGCGGCCUAUCAGCUUGUUGGUGAGGUAAUGGCUCACCAAGGCGACGACGGGUAGCCGGCCUGAGAGGGUGACCGGCCACACUGGGACUGAGACACGGCCCAGACUCCUACGGGAGGCAGCAGUGGGGAAUAUUGCACAAUGGGCGCAAGCCUGAUGCAGCGACGCCGCGUGAGGGAUGACGGCCUUCGGGUUGUAAACCUCUUUCAGUAGGGAAGAAGCGAGAGUGACGGUACCUGCAGAAGAAGCGCCGGCUAACUACGUG
This 466-nucleotide ribosomal RNA is filed under the name uncultured bacterium. RNAcentral's name for it is "partial 16S ribosomal RNA". It matches the Rfam family "Bacterial small subunit ribosomal RNA", at positions 28 to 507 of the family's 1533-position model. The record is from RNAcentral.